CAAAUCCGCCUUGCUCAACCCUACCAACGCCAUUCUCGCCGCCCUCUCUGCCAUUCGCGUGCCCCGUCGCCGUCUCUGCAGCGACAUUUUCCCUCUCAAACCCACUCUCUCCGCUGAAAUUUUUUGGCACCGCACUAAGCCCUAGCCACACCGUUAUCAUCGCUAUCUCCGUCAUUCUCGCGCUCCGCCGUCGUCUCGCCGUCU
Molecule: long non-coding RNA, 204 nt
Filed under: Salvia miltiorrhiza (redroot sage)
Lineage: Eukaryota; Viridiplantae; Streptophyta; Magnoliopsida; Lamiales; Lamiaceae
Description: long non-coding RNA (SMIL_LNC009533)
Source: RNAcentral